ACUCAACCUUUGCUUUAGUCUAUGCUUUUGGUGGCGGCUGGAUCAUUUGAGUCAUUUGUGUCCAAUUGUUUGGAGAUAUUAAAAAAGGUGAAAGAUGAAUAUCGUUCAGAAUUUACAGCCCCAAAAUCCAAACGCUUCGUAUCACUCGGCAGGAUGUGACUGGAUCCAGUCAGAAGCCAGUACUGGGACAUCGAUUAUGGCAGUGGAAUUUGAUGGAGGAGUAGUUAUUGGAGCAGAUUCAAGGGCUACAACAGGUGCUUAUAUUAGCAACAGAACUGCCGACAAGUUGACCAAAAUCACAGAUAAUAUCUACUGCUGUCGUUCUGGAUCUGCAGCGGAUACACAGGCUAUUGCUGACAUCGUCUCCUAUCAUUUAGGAUUUCGUCAGAUGGAGCUUGGAACUCAGCCAUUAGUUGAAACAGCAGGAAAAGUUUUUCGGGAGAUGUGUUACAACUAUCGGGACUCUCUCGUUGCCGGAGUAUUAGUUGCUGGCUGGGAUUCACAGAAGGGUGGCCAAGUUUACAGUAUUCCCAUCGGUGGCAUGUGUGUUCGUCAACCAAUUUCCAUCGGAGGAUCUGGUUCCAGCUAUAUCUACGGAUACGUCGACGCAAACUACAAGCCCAACAUGUCCAAGGAUGAGUGCAUUACACUCGUCAUCAAUAGUUUGGCAUUGGCUAUGAGCCGUGAUGGAAGCAGUGGAGGCGUGAUCCGCAUUGGAGUUAUUACAGAGCAAGGCGUCGAACGUCGACUAAUUAUUGGGGAUGAUAUUCCCAAGUUUUACGAAGGAUAAUUACAUUGAAACUGCAGAAGCACCUGCCGGUUUUCCUUUAUUCUUUCACAAUAAUUGAUGCCGUAUUUGUGACUGGGGAAGUGUCCAUCAGGAGAUAUUGCCAGAAAAUUUAUAAUAAAUAAGCCAUUAAGAUUUUACUCCAUAUCAUCUAUCACUAUACGAGAUGGAGACGGCCAAAUUGCUCUGUAAUAGAGGUUUAUA
Diachasmimorpha longicaudata is the source of this 991-nucleotide RNA transcript. It is a transcript of the gene named proteasome subunit beta type-6, with no coding region annotated. NCBI's taxonomy places the organism in Eukaryota, Metazoa, Arthropoda, Insecta, Hymenoptera, Braconidae. The record is from RefSeq and is a predicted model, not a curated record. The transcript has 6 exons.